CGGACCUACGGGGCGCAGCAGUGAGGAAUAUUGGUCAAUGGGCUUACGCCUGAACCAGCCAAGUCGCGUGAGGGAAGACUGCCCUAUGGGUUGUAAACCUCUUUUGUCAGGGAGCAAUUGGCGCUACGUGUAGCGUUAUCGAGAGUACCUGAAGAAAAAGCAUCGGCUAACUCCGUGCCAGCAGCCGCGGUAAUACGGAGGAUGCGAGCGUUAUCCGGAUUUAUUGGGUUUAAAGGGUGCGUAGGCGGGUUAUCAAGUCAGCGGUAAAAUCGUGGAGCUCAACUCCAUCCAGCCGUUGAAACUGA
This 305-nucleotide ribosomal RNA is filed under the name uncultured bacterium. Its description in RNAcentral is "bacterial SSU rRNA". It matches the Rfam family "Bacterial small subunit ribosomal RNA", at positions 334 to 636 of the family's 1533-position model. The record is from RNAcentral.